UACGAAGGGUGCAAACGUUGCUCGGAAUCAUUGGGCGUAAAGCGCACGUAGGCGGUUCGACAAGUCGGAUGUGAAAGCCCUCGGCUUAACCAAGGAAGUGCAUCCGAAACUGUCGAGCUUGAGUAUCUAAGAGGAUCGCGGAAUUCCCGGUGUAGAGGUGAAAUUCGUAGAUAUCGGGAGGAACAUCAGUGGCGAAGGCGGCGAUCUGGGAGAAUACUGACGCUGAGGUGCGAAAGCGUGGGGAGCAAACAGG
RNAcentral lists this ribosomal RNA (253 nucleotides) under uncultured bacterium. RNAcentral describes it as "partial 16S ribosomal RNA". It matches the Rfam family "Bacterial small subunit ribosomal RNA", at positions 524 to 776 of the family's 1533-position model. The record is from RNAcentral.